Molecule: long non-coding RNA, 1046 nt
Organism: Panicum virgatum (switchgrass)
Lineage: Eukaryota; Viridiplantae; Streptophyta; Magnoliopsida; Poales; Poaceae
Exons: 2
Source: RefSeq, a predicted model, not a curated record
UAGCUUGCAUGGUAUAUAUAUAAUACGAGUGCAUGGAUGCAUACACAACAUUUUGCAUGUCCAUCCAUCUUCUUCAUUGUGCUAUGGUACGCAUCUGUUCCCCCUGAAUGGGUGAAUUACCUUGGUUAUGUUUAGAAGUGCACAGGAAACCACAGAACAUAUUGAUCAACGAAUACUUAUAUUCAGUUAAGACUUAGCGGACUUAAGAGCAGCUAGUGUGUACGUCGUAAGUGUCUAUACAAAGCAUAGAAGCACUACUUACUGUAAAAUAAUGGUGCAAUUUUAAAGCCAGCUGAAUUCAUGAGCAUCAAGUAAUCGUAGCAAAGUCAUAUCUGUGUCUGUGUGGUAUUGUUGUCAAAACCCCUAGUGUACCAUGGGUAUCCAUUGAGACAAAGUUCUCUAGUGAGAAAGAAAUUAAAUAAGUCUUCCAAUACCAGGAUCAGUUAAUCAGGUUUACCAAACAAUAUCUGCUAUAAUUUGAAAAAAGCAAUUUUCAUGGUUAUUGAGCUUAUUGCAUCUUGCGUAGUAUAACCCUAUAGUUGGGAGAGAGAGUUUUGGUUUUCUUUUUCUUUUUCCAUAUUUCUGUUCUUCUCCCUAGUUUAACAGUAACCUUUUGGAGUCUUGGUUUCUUCAAGGCAUUUGGUGGUCUUGUAAAUGCCAAGUUAUCUCAAAAAGCACUAAAUGCAGGCCCUGUUUAGCAUAACUCCGCUCCAAUAAAUGUUGGGUUUGUAGCUGGAGUUUAUUCUACAAACUGCGGAUCCAACCUGAAUCACAGAGCUGGAGGACUGUGCCAAAUAGGCCCGUAAUUGCUAUUUUUUCUUAGUUGUUGCACUUCGAAUCGAUAGUUAAUGAUACGCUGAUCGGCUGAUGUAGACUGCAUACCUGAAUGUGAGUUGAAGGGCGCUCCAAAAUUGGAGAGCAAUACUAAUUGCACUGGCCAAGUCAUUCUCAAGCUCUUCACGUGUAGUGCAAACUCCACAUCUGAGCCAUGAGGCACACAUCUGUGAAAACGAUGGAAAAUUGCAAAUUAAUACGUUGCUUCGAAA